GUCUUCUCUUCCGUUCACAAAUUGUUACCUUUUAUUCGUUCAUGGUGUUUGAUUUAUUGUCAAAAGUGCGGGUUUUGGUGAAUCAUUAAUUGGUCCGGUGAAAGGUGUUGAUAGUUAUUUCUGGGUUGUUUACUUCUUGAAUCUUUUACCGUGUACCGUGUUAGAUGUAGUUUUCUGAGUUUCAUAACCUCAAAUGAAUUUACAAGUGGAACUGCUUUUGGUCAUUGAGCUUGUGGUUAAGAAAAGUACCUAUCUUUGAUUCGGUUGUCUCCAACUACCAAGGAGUUCUGUUACAUGAAAAGUUAAAAGUCGUCAUCUUAUCUUGACCUAAAACCUUAAAGACAAUAAUUUUAUGGUCCUUUCCACUUCUAGUAGUAUAGUAAUGGUAAUUUGGCUUCCACCAAAGUCCAAGGGUAACAUCUACACUGUAUCUGGUUGGGCUGCUUUUUGUGAGAUUUGGUAUGUAAAUGUGUGUGUUUUGUGGUGAUUUUGCAGAUGCAUUAGUUCAGUUUGCCAUAGUUAAUUUCUGUUUUGUAGUCAAUCUUGCUUUCUCCACAAAUUAUCCUCUUGUUGGUUAGUUAUGGUAAAUGUUUAUUUGUCCCUCAAUGCAUGUCAUUCAGUUAUUUACACCCAAGUGGAUGAAAAUAAACUAUUAAAUAUGUAGUACAACAACAUGGCAUAGAUAAUAGGAAACUCAGUAGCUAAACCAUUCACAUGCUUACCUCUCACUUAUCACUAUAAUACUGAAGAAGAAUUAAAUGUUAUAUUGAGGUUAAAAAAAGUCACAUAUACAGAGAGAUAGGAGUAGGAUUAUGAAUGGAAAAAGCUUAAUUGAUAAGAAUUACAAAACUUUCAGUUGAUCUGACUGUGAUACAGCUAACACAGUUGGAGAAUAAACUGAGACCGAGCUCAAAGAAAAGAAACUGAGAGUUGAAGAUGCUCUUGAUGCUACAAAG
Lupinus albus (white lupine) is the source of this 956-nucleotide non-coding RNA. The record is from the annotation of a GenBank genome assembly. Lineage: Eukaryota; Viridiplantae; Streptophyta; Magnoliopsida; Fabales; Fabaceae.